CCCUAGGUAGUGAAAACAGUUAACACAUUUGGCUACUAACCCAAAGGGUGGAGGUUCAAGUCCACCCAAAGGCA
Molecule: transfer RNA, 74 nt
Filed under: Loxodonta africana (African savanna elephant)
Lineage: Eukaryota; Metazoa; Chordata; Mammalia; Proboscidea; Elephantidae
Rfam family: tRNA
About the family: Transfer RNA (tRNA) molecules are approximately 80 nucleotides in length.
Source: Rfam by way of RNAcentral